GGGGGGGGGUGGGGGGGGGGGGGGGGGGGGGGGGGGGGGCGGGGGGGGCGGGGGUUGGGCGGCUGGAGGAGUGGCGAACGGGUGAGUAACACGUGAGCAAUCUGCCCCUGACUCUGGGAUAAGCGCUGGAAACGGCGUCUAAUACUGGAUACGAGCUGCGAAGGCAUCUUCAGCAGCUGGAAAGAAUUUCGGUCAGGGAUGAGCUCGCGGCCUAUCAGCUUGUUGGUGAGGUAAUGGCUCACCAAGGCGUCGACGGGUAGCCGGCCUGAGAGGGUGACCGGCCACACUGGGACUGAGACACGGCCCAGACUCCUACGGGAGGCAGCAGUGGGGAAUAUUGCACAAUGGGCGAAAGCCUGAUGCAGCAACGCCGCGUGAGGGACGACGGCCUUCGGGUUGUAAACCUCUUUUAGCAGGGAAGAAGCGAAAGUGACGGUACCUGCAGAAAAAGCGCCGGCUAACUACGUG
Molecule: ribosomal RNA, 468 nt
Filed under: uncultured bacterium
Lineage: Bacteria
Description: partial 16S ribosomal RNA
Rfam family: Bacterial small subunit ribosomal RNA
Source: RNAcentral